Molecule: long non-coding RNA, 610 nt
Organism: Leptopilina heterotoma
Lineage: Eukaryota; Metazoa; Arthropoda; Insecta; Hymenoptera; Figitidae
Exons: 3
Source: RefSeq, a predicted model, not a curated record
UAGAACGUACGAAUGCCUUCCCCCUGAAGUUGCUGCAGAAAAAUGAUAAUUUAUUGUCAAACUUGAGUUUCUAUAUCCCAUGCCUAAAAAAUUGACGUGUGUUUUGAUGUCAUCGUUGGUCAUCGUUGUAAACAUUAAACAGUUUAAUGUUUACCAUUACAUUAAAGUUAAAAAUACAUUAAAAUUUUUAAAAAAUGGUAAUGAAUGGUGAAAAAAAGUUAGUGAUUAAAGUGAGGUGACAAAUAUUUUUAUAUUGCAUCAGUAUAAAAGUUUCAUGAAGCGGCCGAAUUAAUUGAUCAUAGGAAAAUUGUAUAAAGAAAACAAUGUAGGGACAAUUUUCAUCAUUGCAUCAACAAUUUUCCAAAAAUGAAGCACUACCUAUUCGUGGCACGCGAGGUUGUCAAAUGCGAAAAAUGCGUUGUCCUUGGUUUUCAAUCCUGGGCGAAGCACGUACCCUAGAACAAUUGGAACGAAAUGAUGGCGAAUUGUCUCUUCUGCAAAAGGAGAAUGCCAUCAUUGAUGGGAGAAACAUUUCCCCGCACCAAAACGGAACCGAAUGUGUUAUAUAACUGGUGAGUUCUUUGGCUUGCUGAUUAUUUGCCUGCUCGAU